UCCAGGUUCUAUUUUUUUUUGCAUUCUUAGUGUCUGGCACAUUGUCUGACACAGUGUAAAAGCUGAGUAGAAUUUGCCUGAUAGCAGAUGUGCCUAAAGUGAGGGUGUCCAAAAUUUCAUUAAAUGACGACUGCUUAAUAUGAAUUCUUGGCUAAGGCAGGAGAAUCGCUUGAACCCAGGAGGCAGAGGUUGCAGUGAGCCGAGAUCACACCACUGCACUCCAGCCUUGUGAGAGAGGGAGACUGCAUCUCAAAAAAAAAAAAAUAUAUAUAUAUAUAUAUAUAUAUGAAUUCUUACUGAUAGUAUUAAAUGAUUAUCUCUUUACAUUCACAGUAAUGUCUUACAAUAACAGAAUGCAGGGAGACAAUAUCAAUGAAGAAAAGACAAAAUGUACUUAUCCAUGAAGCUGAGGUUAAGAAACCAGUGUCUUCAAGAGCCAGGACAGCACUGGGUCUGUGCAGAGUUGAGAGAUGGUGAUGACAUGUGACAGAGCUCCUUGCUGCUCAAAUUUUAUGCCAGAUAAAAUAUUCACCUUCUCGGACUCCCUGGCACCAGGCAUGGCCAUGUAAUGUAAGUGUAGGCAAUGAGACUAGGUAUGGACCCAUUAGGGGUUUCUUAGAAUGUUUUUGCUUUUCUAAUAUAGACAACCCUUUGUCUCUUUCUCUUUCUCCAGCCUACAGCACAGCUGAUGAAAGAGAAGCCAUCUUGCUGCUAUUUGAGAAGCAAGAAGAUAAAAGCUUUCCUAUAAAGAUGAUGGAGCAAAAAGAUAGAAGGGGCCUAGACUCCCUACCUUCACACUUCCUGCUAUAAAAGCAUUGCUAUUAUAAGGUUAAUCUGCAGAAACAGACUUCUAUGUCAUAUGCUUAAAUGCAUCAAAAUUCAUACAAUAUCCAUUAAAUUGGUAAAAGUAUCCAUUUUAAAGGAUUAAUCUGAGGGACCCACAGACACUUAACACAAUCAAAUCUCAGAAAAAAAAUCAGUUAUUUCAUUGUGAUUUUGAGGCUGAUCUUUUAUGAUCUUUUAGUUAUCAAACUGUUAAAUACAUUUUAACUUUCAAAUUUUAUGAAUAAAGGAGAUGAAUCCUGUUAUUUUCUCAGUGUGAGUGUGAUGAUGUGUGCCAUGUGUGCCUAUGUAUGCACACACAUGUACUCAAGGAGCCUGAAGGGGACCAUGACUUUCUGGGCACUCAAUGCUACUUAUCUCUAACUCCUCCUUCAAAUCUCCCCAUUCUAAGUCUACUUCCUUAGGGAAUAGGUACAAAUAUAUCCCAUUAAACAUGAUUUAAGGAUGUAUUUAUUUUAAACUUGUCAUCACUGGUGGUUGGAGUGUGUGUGUGUGUGUGUGUGUGUGUGUGUGUGUGUGAAUUCUGACUCAUUUAUUUUAUCUGAUGGUAAGAUACCCUAUUGAAGAGAUAUUUAUUUAUAGAGCCAAACAAUGAGCUUCUUUCUCACUCUUGGACUUCUGCUCUAGCUGUCAGCCACUCUGAAUAUAGAGAACAAUUAAUAGCCAGUGAUCUUUAAUUUGGGAGGGAGAGUAAUAUAACCAUUUCACAUAUUAGUAAUUUAAGCCCUAAAGUGACAUUUUUGUACAAAGUCAGUGCAGAUGCUGUCUGCCUUGAUAAUAAAAAUGGUCACUUUAAAUAUCACGUAAGCCACCCCAUCACAUCAUCUCAUUGAAAUGAAGGAAGAUGAAAAGUUACUGAGUCAAAACAAUACUUGAAGGAAAACAACUUCUCAAAGUCUGGAAGCUGUUUCCAUGGGAACUGGCUGGACUGAUAAAUAAUUGGAGGCCUUUGCAUAUAUUGUCCCUUAAAUGUGAGCAGCACUUGGGAGGAAGAAGGCUGAACAAGGCUGCAUUUUUGACCCACUACCCAUCCCUAUUACAGAGAUUUAGGGAUUUUGCCAAUCACAAAUUCAAACAGCCAUCCAUUUCCUGAAACAUAAUUUAAUUUUAGUGGUAGCUAGGGACAUUGCUUCCUUAGAUUUUACUACCCUCUGUGUACUGAUAUCCAUCAAACACACAGGAAAUGUGGUUCCUUGUAAAACAAUAUGAAUAAAGAAGGGUUGGGGAAAAUGUUACAUGGAAACUUGCAAUGUGAUAUCAACUGUAGGCAAGGACAGUACUUAUAAGCAAUGCUUGGGAGGUAUAUAAGAUUCUUAAAUACUGUUUCAGGGGGGAAAAAUUUAAAGACAAGACAAUCUGAAUGAUCCAGAAAUAAAGUAUCAACCUAGAAGACAGAAGAAGGCAACAGAUUAGGAUUCCUUUUCAUUAUAGUCAAGCAUACUUAAAGCUAGAAAUUGUUCAGAAAGUUACAUACAUUAAUCUGCCUUCUGAUUUAAGAAUACAAGGAGGCUUCUGUCAACACUUAAGUAGGUAGUGAGAGAUACCUACAGAAGCCUAUGUCCCUUUUUUUUCAUUUCAACUUUUAGUUACAGGGGUUACACGUGUAGAUUUGUUACAUGGGAAUAUUAUGUGAUGCUGAGGUUUGGAGUAUAGAUCCCGUCAUCCAGGUAGUGAGCAUAGUACCCAAUAGGUAGUUGUUUAACCCACUCACCAUUCUCUCUACUCUCCAGUAGUCCACAGUGUCUGGUUGUUCCCAUACUUAUGUCCAUGUUUUUAGCUCCCACUUACAAGUAGAAACAUGAAGUAUUUGUUUUUCUAUUUCUGCAUUAAUUUAUUUAGGAUUAUGACCUCCAGGUCCAUCCACGUUGCUGCAAAAAUAUGAUUUCAUUCAUUUUUGUUGGAUGCAUAGUGUUCCAUUGUGUAUAUGUACCCCAUUUCCUUUAUCCAAUCUACGGUUGAUGGACACCUGGGUUGAUUCCCUGUCUUUGCUAUUGUAAAUAGUGUAACAAUGAACAUACGAGUGCCUGUGUUUUUCUGGUAGAAUGAUUAAUUUUCUUUUGGGUAUAUACCCAGUGAUGGGAUUGCUGGAUCAAAUGGUAGCUCUGUUUUAAGUUCUUUGGGAAAUCUCCAGAGUGUUUUCCACAGCAGCUGGACUAAUUUACAUUCCUCCAACUGUGUAUAAGCAUUCUCUUUUUGACCCAGCCUUGCCAGCAUCUGUUGUUUUUGACUUUUUAAUAAUAGCCAUUCUGACUGGUGUGAGAUGGUAUCUCACUGUGGUUAUGAUUUCCAUUUCUCUGGUGAUUAAUUAUGAUGAGUGUUUUUUCAUCACUUGUAUGUGUUUGUUGGCCACUUGUAUGUAUUCUUUUGAGUAGUGUCUGUUCAUGUC
Long non-coding RNA from Pan troglodytes (chimpanzee), 3229 nucleotides. The record is from Ensembl. Lineage: Eukaryota; Metazoa; Chordata; Mammalia; Primates; Hominidae.